This 65-nucleotide transfer RNA is filed under the name Anagonalia melichari. Its description in RNAcentral is "tRNA-Ile". Lineage: Eukaryota; Metazoa; Arthropoda; Insecta; Hemiptera; Cicadellidae. The record is from RNAcentral.
AAUAAGAUGCCUGAAAAAAAAGGAUUAUUUUGAUAGAAUAAAUUAUACAUUUUAUGUUCUUAUUA